Molecule: long non-coding RNA, 529 nt
Filed under: Gossypium raimondii (Peruvian cotton)
Lineage: Eukaryota; Viridiplantae; Streptophyta; Magnoliopsida; Malvales; Malvaceae
Description: long non-coding RNA (GRAI_LNC002681)
Source: RNAcentral
GGUAGGUGAGCGGCGGAGCAAAAAGUAGGUGAACGGCGAUGGGACAGUGGUGGCGAUAGAAGGCUAGCAUGCGGCGCCCUAGGGUUAGGGGGAUUAGGGUUUCUGAAAUGGUAUUAAAAUUUUGGGGCACUAGGCCUUGUAAUUGGGUUUGUUUAGUUAUUUUUGGGUCUGAUUUGGGUGUUGGGCCUAGGGGUGAGCAAAACUCGAUUCGACUCGAAAAAAGCGAAAAAAAUUCGAAUUUCGAGUUAAACGAAUCGAGUUAUUCAAGUUAAUCGAGUUAUUCGAAUCAACUCGAUUUUUUUUCGAAUUUCGAGUUCGAAUCGAGUUGAGUUUUCGAAUUCGAAUAACUCGAAUAAUUCGAAUAAUUCGAAUAUCAAACUAUAAUAUUUGACAGUUUUACCCUAAACUCCCAAACCUUUUUACUUUUCCCUCAAAACUUUUACUCCUUCCCACUUUCCCCCCAAAACUUUUACUCCCCUCACCUCCCAACCCCCCAAUCUACCCAAAAUCCAUUUCCCACCAAAAUUUU